UUUCUCCCGAAUCUCUCCUACCAACUCACGCAUGGUCUUCUCCUCCCUCUCUCCUCUCCCCUCUCCCCUCUCCCCUCUCCGCGAAUCUCUCCUUCGAACUCCUCUCCGUCCAACCUCUCUUCCACAAACCCCUCUCCACGAAUCUCUCCUCCAAAUACCUUCAAACAGUGAGCUUUUUUAGCACCAGUCGCGCCUUGCCUUGAAAGCCUUCACUGCCGCUCGAAGCGAGCAGUAGUACGAUGUCGAUCUCAACCUCUACGCGUCUCCACCUUGUCCAGGUGCGGAUCGUGGCAGGAGAUCGAUACCUUGGUUGCUGAUCUAAUGGAGGAGGGAUGACUCUCCACGGAGACCUCCAAAGGGGGUUCCCUAUUGGCCGAUUGAUGGCGAGGAGGAGAGCUAAUCAGCGAGUCGAUCAGCGGUGCCGUAGAAGGUCAAGAUUGGAUUUUACUUCGCCGCGUGGUGAGCGCUGAACAUGGUGUUCAACAUCUACAACAAGAAGGUUCUUAACGCCUUCCCCUACCCUUGGCUGACCUCCACACUCCCCCUUGCUGCCGGCUAGCUCCCACAUGUUUUAGGUCAAGUUUGAUUUAACCUCUUCAAAGCACAUGUUGAAAUGACAAAAAAGAUUUGUGGCAAUGCAAAUGUCCGUUACACAUGGCUUGCUUCCUCCAAGGAUGCGGUGGACGAGAUGAUGUCUCAUGGGGUUCUGAAGCAACCUGUGCAGAAAUGACUUUAUGGAAAUGGACUUCAUCUUGCCCUUACAAAUUGCUCUUAUAUCUGCUAUGAAUUCUACAUAAGACAACACAAAAUCUUUGUACAAAGUGAGAGCAGAAAUGCGAAGUACAUUGAACAUUCAUUUGAAGUGCCUUUUCAGAUAUUUUGAAGGUGAAUGGUGAUAUUCAGAAACUCCAACUAAAUAGCACGAGUAUAGAUGAUUACAGGAGCAACAACUACAUGCUAUAUGACACUGUAUAUGAACUCCAAGGGUGUGACUGGAAAGUAUUUCGAUGAAAAACUAUCAAGAAGACUUUGGGAUUUAAGUAAGAAAAUGGUGUCGUCUCUGCUAGCUUUCAAAUGCUAAAACCCACUAUGCUGGUUCUUAUCACAAUGGUCCUUCUUGUUCGGUUUACUCUUUUAAGAAGGUCAGAGAAUUACAGUCAAUGGGUGAUUACUUUCUCUCCCAGCAUCGUUUUGUACAAUUGUUUUGCUAUCAUUUUGUUUUGGAUGCUUCAAUGACAUUCCUUGGCUUGACUAACAUGCUUUGGACAGGAUAUAGGCAAGGGAUUGAAUUUGAAAACUCGAACCCACAGGCCUGAGUAGAUGGUUCAACAGGAAUCAAAUUCCAUUAGAUAUCCAUUGACAGUGAUGUGGCAGAAUAGAUGAUGUGGUAGAAGAAUUGCAGGAGGCCAAUUGUUCAAUCUGUUCAAAGCUCACAAAGAUCCUAGACAAAAUCCAAUUGCUUAUUCCUGUAAUAGAUUGAGAAAGACAAGCUACUUCUUCAGUAUUGUGGUAGUAAUUACUGUACUGUUUUGUCUCGUUCUCAAGCCGAUAAUAAUUUUUUAGUGUAGCUAGUAGAAGUAAACAGAUUGUUGGCUUCGAGGUCAAUUAGUUAUUUUGUGCUCUUUUGUUUUAAAUGUGAAUAUCACUAUCUAGU
This is a long non-coding RNA of Zingiber officinale, 1654 nucleotides long. RefSeq lists it as uncharacterized. NCBI's taxonomy places the organism in Eukaryota, Viridiplantae, Streptophyta, Magnoliopsida, Zingiberales, Zingiberaceae. The record is from RefSeq and is a predicted model, not a curated record. The transcript has 5 exons.